GUUUUGAGGGGUUAACAAAGAAGUAUCAUGUAGGUGUAUGCAACUAAAAUUGGGAGUAAUAUUGCUCUAUGAUACUCACAGUUCCAUUCAACAACUUAUCCAUUGAGUUUGUGGUAGGGUAAUGUGCGAGUAUGAGCAGAAUGAUUAAUUUGGUAGUGCAUAAAAUGCCUUGUUGACUUGGAAGUUGGCAGAGCCCCGUUG
This 201-nucleotide unclassified non-coding RNA is filed under the name Hevea brasiliensis (rubber tree). Lineage: Eukaryota; Viridiplantae; Streptophyta; Magnoliopsida; Malpighiales; Euphorbiaceae. The record is from RNAcentral.